AAAGGAAAAAGUCUCCUCUGAGGAUACUUCUGCACUAACCUACUUUUCUUCACAGAUCUGAAAUUUCUCUACGGAUAUGGAUCUUUUGACAAAAACCAGAAGGAUCGCGUCCAGAAUGUUACAAUUAAGAAGCUGAAACAACCAUAAAAGACAGAAGGAUGCGAUUUCUUUCCAGAUGAUAUGA
This 184-nucleotide long non-coding RNA is filed under the name Mus spicilegus (steppe mouse). RNAcentral describes it as "lncRNA (ENSMSIG00000021232.1)". Lineage: Eukaryota; Metazoa; Chordata; Mammalia; Rodentia; Muridae. The record is from RNAcentral.